AGCCACCUUCGGGUGGUGGACAGUGGCAGACGGGUGAGUAACGCGUGGGAACGUGCCUUUCGGUUCGGGAUAACCCAGGGAAACUUGGGCUAAUACCGGAUACGCCCUCCGGGGGAAAGAUUCAUUGCCGAAAGAUCGGCCCGCGUCGGAUUAGCUAGUUGGUGGGGUAAAAGCCUACCAAGGCGACGAUCCGUAGCUGGUCUGAGAGGAUGACCAGCCACACUGGGACUGAGACACGGCCCAGACUCCUACGGGAGGCAGCAGUGGGGAAUAUUGGACAAUGGGUGCAAGCCUGAUCCAGCCAUGCCGCGUGGGUGAAGAAGGCCCUAGGG
Molecule: ribosomal RNA, 332 nt
Filed under: uncultured bacterium
Lineage: Bacteria
Description: bacterial SSU rRNA
Rfam family: Bacterial small subunit ribosomal RNA
Source: RNAcentral